This 208-nucleotide microRNA precursor is filed under the name Oryza nivara. Its description in RNAcentral is "MIR812 microRNA precursor family". It matches the Rfam family "MIR812 microRNA precursor family". Lineage: Eukaryota; Viridiplantae; Streptophyta; Magnoliopsida; Poales; Poaceae. The record is from Rfam by way of RNAcentral.
AAUAAGUGCAGUUUUACACUAUUCACGUUCAACAUUUGACCGUUCGUCUUAUUUGAAAAUUUUUUAUGAUUAGUAUUUUUAUUACUAUUAGAUGAUAAAACAUGAAUAGUACUUUAUGCGUGACUAAAUAUUUUUAAAUUUUUCACAAAUGUUUUAAAUAAGACGGAUGGUCAAACAUUGGGCACGGAUAUCUACGGCUACACUUAUU